This 473-nucleotide small RNA is filed under the name uncultured cyanobacterium. Its description in RNAcentral is "bacterial LSU rRNA". It matches the Rfam family "Bacterial large subunit ribosomal RNA", at positions 1236 to 1683 of the family's 2925-position model. The record is from RNAcentral. Lineage: Bacteria; Bacillati; Cyanobacteriota.
GCGUUCCGCAACGGUGUGAAGCACUAGCGACAAGCAGGUGUGGACUGUGCGGAAGUGAGAAUGUCGGCUUGAGUAGCGCAAAUGUAGGUGAGAAUCCUACACCCCGAAACCCUAAGGGUUCCUCCGCCAGGCUCGUCCGCGGAGGGUGAGUCAGGUCCUAAGGCGAGGCAGAAGUGCGUAGUCGAUGGAUAACGGGUCAAUAUUCCCGUGCCUGACAUUGUUGGUGCAGAGGGACGGAGAAGGCAAUCGCCAGCCGGAUGUUGGUUACCGGUUCAAGUAUUCGAGGUGUUGAGAGACGGAGAAAACGUCUUGAGCUGAGGUACGAAUACGACCUCCUACGGGAGGGAAGUGGUAGAUGUCAGGCUUCCCAGAAAAGCUCUAAACACCAUAAACAAUGUCAGCCUGUACCCGAAACCGACACAGGGUCGACGCGGCCGCGAAUUACCGACCCCUCUGGACGUCCAUACCAUCUA